CCUACGGGUGGCAGCAGUGAGGAAUAUUGGUCAAUGGACGCAAGCCUGAACCAGCCAUGCCGCGUGCAGGAAGACGGCCCUAUGAGUUGUAAACUGCUUUUGUACGAGGGUAAACGCAGAUACGCGUAUCUGUCUGACAGUAUCGUACGAAUAAGGAUCGGCUAACUCCGUGCCAGCAGCCGCGGUAAUACGGAGGUUUCGAGCGUUAUCCGGAUUUAUUGGGUUUAAAGGGUGCGUAGGCGGUCGGGUAAGUUAGAGGUGAAAGCCCGGGGCUCAACUUCGGAAUUGCCAUUGAUACUGUGUGGCUGGAGUGUAGUUGCGGUAGGCGGAAUGCGUGGUGUAGCGGUGAAAUGCUUAGAGAUCAUGCAGAACACCGAUUGCGAAGGCAGCUUACCAAACUGCUACUGACGUUGAGGCACGAAAGCGUGGGGAGCAAACAGGAUUAGAUACCCUAGUAGUC
RNAcentral lists this ribosomal RNA (460 nucleotides) under uncultured bacterium. RNAcentral's name for it is "partial 16S ribosomal RNA". It matches the Rfam family "Bacterial small subunit ribosomal RNA", at positions 338 to 795 of the family's 1533-position model. The record is from RNAcentral.